GUCUAAGGCCAUACCACCCUGAACGCACCUGAUGUCCUGUGAUCUCGGAAGCUAAGCUGGGUCGGGCCUGGUUAGUAUCUGGAUUGGAGACCACCUGGGAAUACCGGUUGCUGUAGGCU
Molecule: ribosomal RNA, 119 nt
Organism: Carlito syrichta (Philippine tarsier)
Lineage: Eukaryota; Metazoa; Chordata; Mammalia; Primates; Tarsiidae
Source: Ensembl